Molecule: ribosomal RNA, 1288 nt
Filed under: metagenome
Description: bacterial SSU rRNA
Rfam family: Bacterial small subunit ribosomal RNA
Source: RNAcentral
UAGCUAGUUGGUGAGGUAACGGCUUACCAAGGCGACGAUCUGUAGCGGGUCUGAGAGGAUGAUCCGCCACACUGGAACUGAGACACGGUCCAGACUCCUACGGGAGGCAGCAGUGGGGAAUUUUGGACAAUGGGGGCAACCCUGAUCCGGCCAUGCCGCGUGAGUGAAGAAGGCCUUCGGGUUGUAAAGCUCUUUCGGCCGGGAAGAAAUCGCAUGGGCCAAUACCCUGUGUGGAUGACGGUACCGGAAUAAGAAGCACCGGCUAACUACGUGCCAGCAGCCGCGGUAAUACGUAGGGUGCGAGCGUUAAUCGGAAUUACUGGGCGUAAAGCGUGCGCAGGCGGUUUUGUAAGACAGGCGUGAAAUCCCCGGGCUCAACCUGGGAACUGCGUUUGUGACUGCAAGGCUAGAGUACGGCAGAGGGGGGGUGGAAUUCCACGUGUAGCAGUGAAAUGCGUAGAGAUGUGGAGGAACACCAAUGGCGAAGGCAGCCCCCUGGGUCGAUACUGACGCUCAUGCACGAAAGCGUGGGUAGCAAACAGGAUUAGAUACCCUGGUAGUCCACGCCCUAAACUAUGUCAACUAGGUGUUGGGUGGGUAAAACCAUUUAGUACCGUAGCUAACGCGUGAAGUUGACCGCCUGGGGAGUACGGCCGCAAGGUUAAAACUCAAAGGAAUUGACGGGGACCCGCACAAGCGGUGGAUGAUGUGGAUUAAUUCGAUGCAACGCGAAAAACCUUACCUACCCUUGACAUGCCAGGAACUUGCCAGAGAUGGCUUGGUGCCCGAAAGGGAGCCUGGACACAGGUGCUGCAUGGCUGUCGUCAGCUCGUGUCGUGAGAUGUUGGGUUAAGUCCCGCAACGAGCGCAACCCUUGUCGUUAAUUGCCAUCAUUUAGUUGGGCACUUUAGCGAGACUGCCGGUGACAAACCGGAGGAAGGUGGGGAUGACGUCAAGUCCUCAUGGCCCUUAUGGGUAGGGCUUCACACGUCAUACAAUGGUCGGUACAGAGGGUCGCCAAGCCGCGAGGUGGAGCCAAUCCCAGAAAGCCGAUCGUAGUCCGGAUUGCAGGCUGCAGCUCGCCUGCAUGAAGUCGGAAUCGCUAGUAAUCGUGGAUCAGCAUGUCACGGUGAAUACGUUCCCGGGUCUUGUACACACCGCCCGUCACACCAUGGGAGCGGGUUCCGCCAGAAGUAGGUAGCCUAACCGCAAGGAGGGCGCUUACCACGGCGGGGUUCGUGACUGGGGUGAAGUCGAAACAAGGUAGCCGUAGGGGAACCUGCGGCUG